AGUGGGAUAGCUGGGUCAAAUGGUGGUUCCAUCUAAGUUUUCUAAAGAAUCUCUAGACUGUUUUCCAGUGUGGUUGCACCAAUUUGCAGUCCCACCAGCAAU
RNAcentral lists this microRNA precursor (102 nucleotides) under Marmota monax (woodchuck). Lineage: Eukaryota; Metazoa; Chordata; Mammalia; Rodentia; Sciuridae. The record is from RNAcentral.